This 253-nucleotide ribosomal RNA is filed under the name uncultured bacterium. Its description in RNAcentral is "partial 16S ribosomal RNA". It matches the Rfam family "Bacterial small subunit ribosomal RNA", at positions 524 to 776 of the family's 1533-position model. The record is from RNAcentral.
UACAGAGGUCUCAAGCGUUGUUCGGAUUCAUUGGGCGUAAAGGGUGCGUAGGCGGCGCGGUAAGUCGGGUGUGAAAUCUUGGAGCUUAACUCCGAAACUGCAUUCGAUACUGCCGUGCUUGAGGACUGGAGAGGAGACUGGAAUUUCCGGUGGAGCGGUGAAAUGCGUAGAGAUCGGAAAGAACACCAACGGCGAAAGCACUCUGCUGGGCCGACACUGACACUGAGAGACGAAAGCUAGGGGAGCGAAUGGG